CCUACGGGUGACAGCAGUGGGGAAUUUUCGGCAAUGGGCGCAAGCCUGACCCAGCGACGCCGCGUGAAUGAAGAAGGCUUUCGGGUUGUAAACUUCUUUUGUCGGGGACGAAGCACGUGACGGUGCCUUGCGAAUAAGCUGCUGGUAACUAGGUGCCAGCAGCCGCGUUAAUACGUAGGUGGCAAGCGUUAUACGGAUUUGUUGGGUGUAAAGGGCGUGCAGGCGGGGCAGCAAGUCCGCUGUGAAACUCACGGGCUCAACUUAUGCAGUGCCUUUGAAACUGUUUGUCUGGAGAGCUGGAGAGGCAAUCGGAAUUCCAUGUGUAGCGGUAAAAUGCGUAGAUAUACGGAAGAACACCAGUGGCGAAGGCGGAUGGCUGGCCAGUAGCUGACGCUGAGGCGCGAAAGCGUGGGGAGCAAACAGGAUUAGAUACCCCUGUAGUC
Molecule: ribosomal RNA, 443 nt
Filed under: uncultured bacterium
Lineage: Bacteria
Description: partial 16S ribosomal RNA
Rfam family: Bacterial small subunit ribosomal RNA
Source: RNAcentral